Molecule: ribosomal RNA, 468 nt
Filed under: uncultured bacterium
Lineage: Bacteria
Description: partial 16S ribosomal RNA
Rfam family: Bacterial small subunit ribosomal RNA
Source: RNAcentral
GACGAACGCUGGCGGCGUGCUUAACACAUGCAAGUCGAACGGAAAGGCCCUGCUUUUGUGGGGUGCUCAAGUGGCGAACGGGUGAGUAACACGUGAGUAACCUGCCCUUGACUUUGGGAUAACUUCAGGAAACUGGGGCUAAUACCGGAUAGGAGCUCCUGCUGCAUGGUGGGGGUUGGAAAGUUUCGGCGGUUGGGGAUGGACUCGCGGCUUAUCAGCUUGUUGGUGGGGUAGUGGCUUACCAAGGCUUUGACGGGUAGCCGGCCUGAGGGGGUGACCGGCCACAUUGGGACUGAGAUACGGCCCAGACUCCUACGGGAGGCAGCAGUGGGGAAUAUUGCACAAUGGGCGGAAGCCUGAUGCAGCAACGCCGCGUGCGGGAUGACGGCCUUCGGGUUGUAAACCGCUUUCGCCUGUGACGAAGCGUGAGUGACGGUAAUGGGUAAAGAAGCACCGGCUAACUACGUG